Long non-coding RNA from Frieseomelitta varia, 240 nucleotides. RefSeq lists it as uncharacterized. The record is from RefSeq and is a predicted model, not a curated record. The transcript is spliced from 3 exons. Lineage: Eukaryota; Metazoa; Arthropoda; Insecta; Hymenoptera; Apidae.
AGUCAACAUGUGCCUUUCUGUAUCGUGAUAUUCAUUAAUUACGUAGUGCUUUUAACAUCAUUUUUCCAUUGUUUAUAUCCACGUUAUCAUUAACCUCGUUUAAUUAAGAUUGUAUGUGAUUGGGGAAAAAAGUUUAAAAUAUUAGGAAGAUGUCUUGACUACAUGAUCAAUGAACGGUCAAUUUGGUAUCUUUUUAUGGAAAUAUGGUUUUGCAAUUAGACACAACCUUUUCUGCAACUC